UGAUUUCCACUGGGGAAGAAUUCCUGGUUGGAGAUCCCUUCCUUGUGGAGUCUUUACAGCAAGCCUAGGUCUUCAGAGGCAGGUCAUUCGCUUGCUCUCCCCAUUCAUCACCUUCUCAGUAGAAGGAGAGAUGCUGACCCAGCGUGCUCCUCCGUGUGAGGUGCUGCUCUGGGGCUCUGAUGCUGAGGACAUGAAGGAGAGGAUGAUGUUACAUGAGUUUAUCUCCAUGCUAUUACCAAGGACUGGGUUAAAAGGUGCAAACACAAGACAGCUUUGAGGUCAGAAAACAAGAGGAAAGGUCCAGCAUCAGGCUCUGGCUCUGCAUGAUGCUCCGGUCGCUGGGCUGGGCAUAGAGGAUGACCAUCUCCUUCUCGUUCUUCAUCAGGUGCAGUGUAGGAAAGAGCAGAACCUGCCAGAUGAAGAUAUGCAAACAAGAUGGAGGAAGGAUGUUAUGACCACGGUCACCUCUACCCACCUUUGAGGAUGGUGAUGUCUAUGGUUGGCUGCACUUUGGGUACCGAGGUAGCAGGAUCACUGCUCAUCCUUGUGUACCGUGAGGAGAUGAUGGAGAUGGGCUGCUCUGAGGGCCCGCAGCAUCGCACACAUGACAGGCGUCGUGUCUCCCGUCUUGGCAGGUCCUGCUCCGCCAUGGAGCUGGGGAUGGACACCAGGAGCAGCAGCAGGAGCACGGCGCUCAUCUUCAUCCAAGCCAGCUGGAGCAGGCAAAGAACAAACAAUUAACAUGAUGAUUCGGAUCAGAGCCACUGAUGGGCCAUCUGCUAAUGUUGCCGCAAGGUGCUUUUCUGAUUAAUUAUUAGCUUAUCUUGUAGUGGCACUAGGAGACUCCAGGUAGGAAGGGUUCCCCACAGUGUACUGUUUACAAGCAAUGGAGAAGGCAAUCCUCAUCCUGCAUUACUUAUGGUUGAAAUGUCUUUCAAGAGACAACACAUAAAAGCAGGAAAGAAAAAGCACGUUUU
Coturnix japonica (Japanese quail) is the source of this 977-nucleotide non-coding RNA. The record is from RefSeq and is a predicted model, not a curated record. Lineage: Eukaryota; Metazoa; Chordata; Aves; Galliformes; Phasianidae.